UACGGAGGAUGCAAGCGUUAUCCGGAAUGAUUGGGCGUAAAGCGUCCGCAGGUGGCUAUGUAAGUCUGCUGUUAAAGAGUGAGGCUCAACCUCAUAAGAGCAGUGGAAACUACAUGGCUAGAGUGCGUUCGGGGCAGAGGGAAUUCCUGGUGUAGCGGUGAAAUGCGUAGAUAUCAGGAAGAACACCGGUGGCGAAAGCGCUCUGCUAGGCCGCAACUGACACUGAGGGACGAAAGCUAGGGGAGCGAAUGG
This 252-nucleotide ribosomal RNA is filed under the name uncultured bacterium. Its description in RNAcentral is "partial 16S ribosomal RNA". It matches the Rfam family "Bacterial small subunit ribosomal RNA", at positions 524 to 775 of the family's 1533-position model. The record is from RNAcentral.